Molecule: ribosomal RNA, 460 nt
Filed under: uncultured bacterium
Lineage: Bacteria
Description: partial 16S ribosomal RNA
Rfam family: Bacterial small subunit ribosomal RNA
Source: RNAcentral
CCUACGGGUGGCAGCAGUGAGGAAUAUUGGUCAAUGGGCGAGAGCCUGAACCAGCCAAGUCGCGUGAAGGAUGACGGAUCUAUGGGUUGUAAACUUCUUUUAUAAGGGAAUAAAGUGAGGAACGUGUUCCUUUUUGUAUGUACCAUAUGAAUAAGGAUCGGCUAACUCCGUGCCAGCAGCCGCGGUAAUACGGAGGAUGCGAGCGUUAUCCGGAUUUAUUGGGUUUACAGGGUGCGUAGGUGGUUCUUUAAGUAAGCGGUGAAAGUUUGUGGCUCAACCGUAAAAUUGUCAUUGAUACUGGUAGACUUGAGUAUAGUUGAGGUAGGCGGAAUGCGUGGUGUAGCGGUGAAAUGCAUAGAUAGCACGCAGAACUCCGAUUGCGAAGGCAGCUUACUAAACUACAACUGACACUGAAGCACGAAAGCGUGGGGAUCAAACAGGAUUAGAUACCCCAGUAGUC